UCGGGCGGUAGUGGCAGAGAGAAAG
This 25-nucleotide non-coding RNA is filed under the name Cricetulus griseus (Chinese hamster). The record is from RNAcentral. Lineage: Eukaryota; Metazoa; Chordata; Mammalia; Rodentia; Cricetidae.